AUGAUGAUAUGUGUAGCCAUCCUCCCUGGCGCUGCAAUCUGUGAGUAUGUUGGUGCAUUGCCGAGGACUGGAGAGAAAAGGUCAGGGUCUGAUAUGCAUAUGCCAUCACUUCAUGUUGAGAACAAUUCCGAGGCACCAUCGGCACCGGAGUACUGCAUCGAUGCUGGAUCCGUUGGAAGUUUCGCAAGGUUCAUAAACCACAGCUGCAACCCUAACCUCUUUGCCCAGUGUGUCCUAACCAAUCACCACGACAUCAAGCUAGAAAAGGUGAUGCUUUUUGCUGCCGACACGGUACUUCCACUUCAGGUGAAUUGA
This 315-nucleotide ribosomal RNA is filed under the name Triticum aestivum (bread wheat). Its description in RNAcentral is "partial small subunit ribosomal RNA". The record is from RNAcentral. Lineage: Eukaryota; Viridiplantae; Streptophyta; Magnoliopsida; Poales; Poaceae.